GAUAAACGCUGGCGGCGUGCCUAAUACAUGCAAGUCGAGCGAACGGACGAGAAGCUUGCUUCUCUGAUGUUAGCGGCGGACGGGUGAGUAACACGUGGAUAACCUACCUAUAAGACUGGGAUAACUUCGGGAAACCGGAGCUAAUACCGGAUAAUAUUUUGAACCGCAUGGUUCAAAAGUGAAAGACGGUCUUGCUGUCACUUAUAGAUGGAUCCGCGCUGCAUUAGCUAGUUGGUAAGGUAACGGCUUACCAAGGCAACGAUGCAUAGCCGACCUGAGAGGGUGAUCGGCCACACUGGAACUGAGACACGGUCCAGACUCCUACGGGAGGCAGCAGUAGGGAAUCUUCCGCAAUGGGCGAAAGCCUGACGGAGCAACGCCGCGUGAGUGAUGAAGGUCUUCGGAUCGUAAAACUCUGUUAUUAGGGAAGAACAUAUGUGUAAGUAACUGUGCACAUCUUGACGGUACCUAAUCAGAAAGCCACGGCUAACUACGUGCCAGCAGCCGCGGUAAUACGUANGUGGCAAGCGUUAUCCGAAAUUAUUGGGCGUAAAGCGCGCGUAGCGGUUUUUUAGUCUGAUGUGAAAGCCCACGGCUCAACCGUGGAGGGUCAUUGGAAACUGGAAAACUUGAGUGCAGAAGAGGAAAGUGGAAUUCCAUGUGUAGCGGUGAAAUGCGCAGAGAUAUGGAGGAACACCAGUGGCGAAGGCGACUUUCUGGUCUGUAACUGACGCUGAUGUGCGAAAGCGUGGGGAUCAAACAGGAUUAGAUACCCUGGUAGUCCACGCCGUAAACGAUGAGUGCUAAGUGUUAGGGGGUUUCCGCCCCUUAGUGCUGCAGCUAACGCAUUAAGCACUCCGCCUGGGGAGUACGACCGCAAGGUUGAAACUCAAAGGAAUUGAUGGGGACCCGCACAAGCGGUGGAGCAUGUGGUUUAAUUCGAAGCAACGCGAAGAACCUUACCAAAUCUUGACAUCCUUUGACAACUCUAGAGAUAGAGCCUUCCCCUUCGGGGGACAAAGUGACAGGUGGUGCAUGGUUGUCGUCAGCUCGUGUCGUGAGAUGUUGGGUUAAGUCCCGCAACGAGCGCAACCCUUAAGCUUAGUUGCCAUCAUUAAGUUGGGCACUCUAAGUUGACUGCUGGUGACAAACCGGAGGAAGGUGGGGAUGACGUCAAAUCAUCAUGCCCCUUAUGAUUUGGGCUACACACGUGCUACAAUGGACAAUACAAAGGGCAGCGAAGCCGCGAGGUCAAGCAAAUCCCAUAAAGUUGUUCUCAGUUCGGAUUGUAGUCUGCAACUCGACUACAUGAAGCUGGAAUCGCUAGUAAUCGUAGAUCAGCAUGCUACGGUGAAUACGUUCCCGGGUCU
RNAcentral lists this ribosomal RNA (1370 nucleotides) under uncultured bacterium. RNAcentral describes it as "bacterial SSU rRNA". It matches the Rfam family "Bacterial small subunit ribosomal RNA", at positions 28 to 1381 of the family's 1533-position model. The record is from RNAcentral.